This 243-nucleotide ribosomal RNA is filed under the name Triticum aestivum (bread wheat). RNAcentral's name for it is "partial small subunit ribosomal RNA". The record is from RNAcentral. Lineage: Eukaryota; Viridiplantae; Streptophyta; Magnoliopsida; Poales; Poaceae.
AUGGCUCUAAUCCGGAUCAACACUGGUGUUCUGUGCUUGAUGGCACUUUUGAUGGUUUCAACCACUUUAUUGUCGAGUGAAGCAUCAGGGAGGAAGAUAGGCAAGGAAGCUAACAUUGGCGUCGAGGGGCACCGUGAACCCUACACUCCAUGUACGGAUCCUUCAUUUUGUAAUGAUAUCUGCAACAGAGAUGGUUACGGAGGUGGGACCUGCCGUGAUGGUCACUGCGAAUGCAUCAGAUAA